ACGUAAUAGAUACCCGGGUAGUCCCAGCCGUAAACGAUGGAUACUAGGUGUCGGGGUAUCGACCCCCGGUGCCACAGCUAAACGCAUUAAAGUAAUCCCGCCUGGGGAGGUACGGCCGCAAGGUUGAAGCUCAAAGGAAAUUGACGGGGGCCCGGCACAAGCGGUGGAGCAUGUUGUUUAAUACGUCACUAACCGUAGAACCUUACCAGGGCUUGACAUCUGACGACAACCUAUGAAAGUAGGCCUUCCUCGCAAGAGGACGUCAAGACAGGUGUUGCAUGGCUGUCGUCAGCUCGUGUCGUGAGAUGUUGGGUUAAGUCCCGCAACGAGCGCAACCCUCACCCAUGUUGCCAUCGGGUCAUGCCGGGAACUCUUGGGGAACUGCCUGGGUAACCGGGAGGAAGGUGGGGAUGACGUCAAGUCAGCAUGGCCCUUACGCCCUGGGCUACAAACAUGCUACAAUGGACGGUAGACAAAGGGAUCCGAGACCGCGAGGUGGAGGCAAUCUCAAAAAUCCGUUCCCAGUUCAGAUCGCAGGCUGCAACUCGCCUGC
RNAcentral lists this ribosomal RNA (553 nucleotides) under uncultured bacterium. RNAcentral describes it as "bacterial SSU rRNA". It matches the Rfam family "Bacterial small subunit ribosomal RNA", at positions 773 to 1319 of the family's 1533-position model. The record is from RNAcentral.